GUUCCCAUGAUGACUGUUUUUAGUUCAACUGCUGAAUGAUUCACAAAUGAACUAAAUCUUAACACUCUGAUCGGA
Naja naja (Indian cobra) is the source of this 75-nucleotide small nucleolar RNA. The record is from Ensembl. NCBI's taxonomy places the organism in Eukaryota, Metazoa, Chordata, Lepidosauria, Squamata, Elapidae.